Macaca mulatta (Rhesus monkey) is the source of this 1539-nucleotide non-coding RNA. NCBI's taxonomy places the organism in Eukaryota, Metazoa, Chordata, Mammalia, Primates, Cercopithecidae. The record is from RefSeq and is a predicted model, not a curated record.
GCACCCACCAUCAUGCCCAGCUAAUUUUUGUAUUUUUGUAGAGACGGGGUUUCACCAUGUUGGCCAGGCUGUUCUGGAACUCCUGGUCUCAGGUGAUCUGCCUGCCUCGGCCUCCCAAAGUGCUGGGAUUACAAGUGUGAGGCACCAUGACCGGCCCCAAUAUUCUUUCAUACUAGACACUGUGUAAGCUAAUUAUUCAGCAAGUAUUUUGCACUGAACUCUAAAUAGGCAAGUAUUUUGUGUCCAUUUUACAGACAAGAGGAAUAAAAUAGGUAAAGUAUUUCCCCAAAGCUGUGAUAAAUGAAUCCCAUAGCUAGAAAUGGCAGAAAACCCAUGGACACUUGCAUGGGUAGUGGAUGUCUGCCUUACCUUGGCACAAUGCCUGGUCCUCACAUAUCAUUUCAGUGACAUUGCCAAAUGGGAGAAACCAUGUCUGGUACAUGGGACACAGGCUCCCUCAAAAUAUCUUGAAUGCAUUUUUUUCAGGGGAGAAAAUCCAUUUGAAUAAGAACAGCUAGUUACAGCUUAUUAAGUGCCAGACACUGUUCAAAGUGUUUGAUGUAUAUUAACUUCUCAAAACCACUCUAUAAGUUAGGUACGAUGCUUUCCAUCUCCAUUUUACAGAUGAGGAAACUGAGCCGUCAAAACUAAGUGACUUGCUUGAAGCCAUACAGCUGGGGAGAAGAAGACCAGGAUCUGAACUCAGCUGAACCUCCCAAGCCUGGGCCACUGAACCAUUUCACCUCUUGGAAAAACUUAAUGGUCAGAGUGGCCCACCCAGUUCAUGGACAGCAUGGAGUGAUUUGGGUGGUGUUUGUGAGGAGCCUGCAUUCUUUGGAAGGAAGACCUUUCGGAUGACCCGACCAGUCCUCCUCUUCGGACUCUGGAUGCUGGCGAAGCAGUUUGAAUUUUAUGCUUGUGAAAGGGCUCUGUUGAUGAUUUUGAUGUCUGCAGCUUUCCAUCCGUAUGACCAGACACAUUCUCACCAGCUCCAUAUAUCAAGAUGAGGAGGGGAGACCUGGUAGCUUUUCCUUCUGUUAACUGCUGGCAUCAGUAGAGUGAUGCAGACAUUUCUCUAUUAAGAACGGAGCUGAGACUGAAGCUUCAUUUUGUAUGAGACUGUGCAGAGGUCAUCUGAAGUCUCUCCCAGGUGAGGUUAUUAUGAUCCUGGAUUUGAAACUGUGACCUACUGGUUUGCCAGAUGCCAAGAACAAAUGCUCUGAAAUUGAUUUUCCAUAAGACAUGAUGAGCUGCUCUAGCUUGCCUGGGAAGAGUGGAAUAUUUAACCUGUGGGUGAGACUCCUUCUUGCUACCUAUCAGCUUUGCCACUGCUCUGAUCGAGAAACGUCUCGGGAGCAGAGUUGGUAAGAGUGAAUCAGACUAUCUGCUAGCAUAGGACUCGUGGUACCUGCUUGUUCGAUCCCUCAUUUCCAUCCCCUCUAUCCUUUGCCUAUUGUCAGUCAUUGUGGUUGAUCCAUUCAGAAGAAUCGUGAAUAUUCAUAGCCAUCUUAAUUUACUAAUAUAUAUUCACUAAUGUCA